ACGCACGCUGGCGGCGUGCUUCACACAUGCAAGUCGCACGGUGAAGCCCUUCGGGGUGGAUCAGUGGCGAACGGGUGAGUAACACGUGAGCAACCUGCCCCUGGCUCUGGGACAACCACUGGAAACGGUGGCUAAUACCGGAUACGACCCGCCUCGGCAUCGAGUGUGGGUGGAAAGUUUUUCGGCUGGGGAUGGGCUCGCGGCCUAUCAGCUUGUUGGUGAGGUGAAGGCUCACCAAGGCGACGACGGGUAGCCGGCCUGAGAGGGCGACCGGCCACACUGGGACUGAGACACGGCCCAGACUCCUACGGGAGGCAGCAGUGGGGAAUAUUGCACAAUGGGCGAAAGCCUGAUGCAGCGACGCCGCGUGAGGGAUGACGGCCUUCGGGUUGUAAACCUCUUUCAGCUCCGAAGAAGCGAAAGUGACGGUAGGAGCAGAAGAAGCACCGGCUAACUACGUG
This 461-nucleotide ribosomal RNA is filed under the name uncultured bacterium. Its description in RNAcentral is "partial 16S ribosomal RNA". It matches the Rfam family "Bacterial small subunit ribosomal RNA", at positions 29 to 507 of the family's 1533-position model. The record is from RNAcentral.